This 134-nucleotide small RNA is filed under the name Escherichia coli. RNAcentral's name for it is "RtT sRNA". It matches the Rfam family "RtT RNA". Rfam says of the family: This family represents a bacterial cis-regulatory element known as RtT RNA. The exact function of RtT is unknown although it is thought that it may be involved in changing the cellular response in relation to amino acid starvation. The record is from RNAcentral. Lineage: Bacteria; Pseudomonadati; Pseudomonadota; Gammaproteobacteria; Enterobacterales; Enterobacteriaceae.
UGCAUCUGUAACUCAUGAGGAAGAGAACCCCCGGGGGCGGGGAGGUUCGACUCGAGCGAAGCGAGAGAACGUUGCGCCAGCAACGGCCCGCAGGGCGAGCCACGAAGUGGCGAGUAAUCCUCUAUCACCGACCA